Long non-coding RNA from Empidonax traillii (willow flycatcher), 590 nucleotides. RefSeq lists it as uncharacterized. NCBI's taxonomy places the organism in Eukaryota, Metazoa, Chordata, Aves, Passeriformes, Tyrannidae. The record is from RefSeq and is a predicted model, not a curated record. The transcript has 2 exons.
GUGUUUAUUUGUCGAUGCCUUACUCCGUGAGGAGUGGUAUUCCAUGUAAACAGUGUCAUCUGCCCCAGACAUCGAGCUCAUUGUGCCUGUUCGACGGGACACCUGCAGCUUUCUUUUUUCCUUUGGAAGUUUUCCCAUCACUAAGCUUUACCGACCCAGAAGAUGCUUCAUUUCCAUUCACUGGUAUAUAGGCAUAUUCUCUUUGACUAAAACAUAAUCCAAGGAGGAUAUAAAGGAACACCAUGAACAUCCAGAGUCUCUGCUGCUCUAGGACAUGAUCCAAGGCCCAGAGCCCAACCACCCCCUCCUUUACCUUUUUUGGCUCUCAGCACUCGUCCCAGCCUUUGAGCCUCCUGCCUUCGCGACCCACCAUGGGAUGAGAUCUGGAUGAGAACGUUGGCUUCUGGCAGAUCAAAGGACGUGUCACCCACCUAUAACAGAGCAACAACCUCUGAGCAGGAUCUUAAUUCCAUGUAUCACCAACAAACAAUAUAUACAAAGCACACCUUUCUUUGUGAGUUGCAAUAUGAAGAUGUUAAAUGCACACCAUACACGUGUAACUUAAAUAAAGUUGGCCCUGAAAACAGGUA